CAAAAAUGCUUGCAGCAAAGAUAUCUGUGGGGAAAGAGGCUUACAGGGAAAAUACCAGACAUGCUGGAGGGCACCCGCCCUGCCUGGGGAGCACACCUCCUGUUCCCCCUACUCUGAGUGUGGGAAUGAUGGCCCAAGGUUGGCAUGUCUGAUUUUUCAAAUGAAGCUGGAGAGUCAGGUUUUUACUUCAAACCUCUUAGUUUUCAAAUAUUGGCCAUGGUUUUAAUCAGCAGCAGCAUCAUCACUGUGCAGGCCAACUCUCCAGGUGACCCCCAGUGUGCCAGGCUGCACGUGACCCACAGCUCACUGCAUUGCAGCCUGGUUCUGAGCAGCUUGCCAGCCGGCGAGAGUAUUUGGUGCUGGCAACAAGAGAGACCAGUUACUGGGGCUUGCACCAAUUAGGGACUGAUUUCUUGACAUUAAAAAAAGCCCAGAGUGGGUAGUCCAGGACUGGUAUGUUGAGCCCCUGAAUGGGUUCACCAAGCACCCAUGCACCUUUGUUUUUCAAGAGAACAUGAAAUUUCAGUCAUUGCUCAAAUACUAAUGUUUGCUUCAUUGAUAUCAAAAUUUUACCUAAGCCCUGUUUCCAUGCCUUUCUGUGUUCCCGUGAAGUUUUUUUUCAAUGUUGAACCAUAGCAUAAUUUUAGGAGGACAUUAUAAACAAUUAAACUCCACAUGUAGGCACCAUUAGCACUCACAGCACAACUGAAGUAAGGCAGCUUGAACACCUACGACCACGGGUGCUCACAUUCAGCCAGUGACAACUCUGCAGUGACUGCUGCCUGGUUGACAUCAACUCCAAGAUGCAUCCUGACUUUAGAGAUGCGAUACUGUGAAAAAAGAAUUUGUCUUAGAAUCAACAAAAUGUGUUUUAUUUGGGGUCGACUCUGGGGAUGAAAUCUACUCUGAGACCCUGGGUGCUGGACCCCAUCCCUGCCACCCACUCCAUCUUUUCCUGCUUUGGUUUCCUUCCCUAGACUGUCUUUCAAUUCUAUUCCAAGUGGGCCAGUCCAGUUCCUGGUUUCAGCUGGAUCCUUGGUAUCUGCAGUGAGGACGCAAGGAAAGAACAAAGCUUUCCCCAAAGGCUCAAAUCCCAGCUUUGCCACUCAGAGCUGUGUGACCCUGGACCAGUUGCCUGACAUUGGCGAAAAUCAUUUCCCUCAUUUGCAAAAUGACCUCACUCAACUACCCAUUUUCUAUUUCCUUUACUCACUGGGGAAAAGCCCAACAACUUACAACACAUGGAUUGUGCUCUCACUGAUCUGGGCUCCUUGGAGGUUUAUCUUUUAUCUUAAGUUAUAUCUCAGAGGGACAUCAGCAUCAUGGUGGAGUGAGUUCUUCCCUUAGUCUCUCCCUUCUAAGUUACAACUAGACCUUCAUUAAUUAGCAGAAGAUUCCCUGCACAGCACAACAGGACAUCUGAGAGAUCCAUGCAGCUGUGCAUCUGAAGGUGGGUGGACUGGAUCCCCAGGAGGCAGUGGAACUAGGUGAGUGUGCUCCUCCCCUUCCCCAGCAGCAGUGAGUCAGGUCGUGGGUGGCCAGCAUGACUGUAAGAGGAGGCAGGGAGAGCCCAGCCUGCAUGAAUGUUUUUGGAGUUGUGGCCUGGCCCACAGGAGCACCCACCCUGCUGGGGUAGCCCCACCAGAGGGCAUGCUCUAUACCAAGUGGUGGUGGCUCAGUCCCUGCAAGGGCGCCCACCUGUUGAGCACUGUGUAGGCAGGAACGUGCUCUGCCUGCUCAGAAGGCACUCCAAUCUGCAGAGCACAGCAGCCCCUGGGACCUGCCAAGUGGCAGCUCUGCACCCGCCUGGGUACCCAAUGCCCCUAGGGCAGCACAAGAGAUAAGGCAUCCCACUCACUCAGCAGGUGCCCCUGCAAGUGGAGCAUAGCAGCCCAUGGGUUCCACUGAAUGGCAGCUCAGCCCCUGCAUAGGCUCCCCUCCUGCCUAGUGUGCAGCAGCUCUACUGGUCCCCUGCCAAGCACAGAGGGCCUGCCUCUGGUGCCUGACCCAC
RNAcentral lists this long non-coding RNA (2011 nucleotides) under Equus caballus (horse). RNAcentral's name for it is "lncRNA (ENSECAG00000058476.1)". Lineage: Eukaryota; Metazoa; Chordata; Mammalia; Perissodactyla; Equidae. The record is from RNAcentral.